RNAcentral lists this ribosomal RNA (766 nucleotides) under uncultured bacterium. Its description in RNAcentral is "bacterial SSU rRNA". It matches the Rfam family "Bacterial small subunit ribosomal RNA", at positions 28 to 776 of the family's 1533-position model. The record is from RNAcentral.
GAUGAACGCUAGCUACAGGCUUAACACAUGCAAGUCGAGGGGCAGCCAUUCUAGUAUGCUGCUAAAGCUCGAGAUGCCCACCGCGCACAGGUGAGAGUACACAGUGUAUCCACCUUCCGUAUAAUUCUGGGAUACCCUCUGGAAAGAAGAUUUAUAUCACGGGUGCUCUAUGAGUCCACAAUGUUCAUGUUAUUAAAGUAUUUCGGUAAUCGAUGGGGAUGCGUUCCAUUAGACAGUAGGUGAGGUAACGGCUCACCUAGUCUUCGAUGGAUAGGGGUUCUGAGAGGAAGGUCCCCCACAUUGGAACUGAGACACGGUCCAAACUCCUACGGGAGGCAGCAGUGAGGAAUAUUGGUCAAUGGGCGCUAGCCUGAACCAGCCAAGUAGCGUGAAGGAUGAAGGCUCUAUGGGUUGUAAACUUCUUUUAUAUAAGAAUAAAGUUCAGCAUGUAUGGAAUUUUGUAUGUACCAUAUGAAUAAGGAUCGGCUAACUCCGUGCCAGCAGCCGCGGUAAUACGGAGGAUCCGAGCGUUAUCCGGAUUUAUUGGGUUUAAAGGGAGCGUAGGUGGACAGGUAAGUCAGUUGUGAAAGUUUGCGGCUCAACCGUAAAAUUGCAGUUGAUACUGUCAGUCUUGAGUACAGUAGAGGUGGGCGGAAUUCGUGGUGUAGCGGUGAAAUGCUUAGAUAUCACGAAGAACUCCGAUUGCGAAGGCAGCUCACUGGACUGCAACUGACACUGAUGCUCAAAAGUGUGGGUAUCAAACAGG